GUGGCCGAGUAGGUGGCGAGUUGUAGCCUCGUGUACGGGCAAAGCGCCCCCCGACCA
RNAcentral lists this transfer RNA (57 nucleotides) under Cyrtodactylus cf. pubisulcus. RNAcentral's name for it is "partial tRNA-Tyr". The record is from RNAcentral. Lineage: Eukaryota; Metazoa; Chordata; Lepidosauria; Squamata; Gekkonidae.